RNAcentral lists this ribosomal RNA (497 nucleotides) under uncultured bacterium. RNAcentral describes it as "partial 16S ribosomal RNA". It matches the Rfam family "Bacterial small subunit ribosomal RNA", at positions 28 to 507 of the family's 1533-position model. The record is from RNAcentral.
GAUGAACGCUGGCGGCGUGCCUAAUACAUGCAAGUCGAGCGAACAGACGAGGAGCUUGCUCCUCUGACGUUAGCGGCGGACGGGUGAGUAACACGUGGAUAACCUACCUAUAAGACUGGGAUAACUUCGGGAAACCGGAGCUAAUACCGGAUAAUAUAUUGAACCGCAUGGUUCAAUAGUGAAAGACGGUUUUGCUGUCACUUAUAGAUGGAUCCGCGCCGCAUUAGCUAGUUGGUAAGGUAACGGCUUACCAAGGCAACGAUGCGUAGCCGACCUGAGAGGGUGAGCGGCCACACUGGAACUGAGACACGGUCCAGACUCCUACGGGAGGCAGCAGUAGGGAAUCUUCCGCAAUGGGCGAAAGCCUGACGGAGCAACGCCGCGUGAGUGAUGAAGGUCUUCGGAUCGUAAAACUCUGUUAUUAGGGAAGAACAAAUGUGUAAGUAACUAUGCACGUCUUGACGGUACCUAAUCAGAAAGCCACGGCUAACUACGCG